GUGGGGAUGUGGCUCAAGUGGUAGCACGCUCGCCUAGCAUGCGUGAGGCACUGGGUUCAAUUCUCAGCACCACA
This 74-nucleotide transfer RNA is filed under the name Marmota monax (woodchuck). RNAcentral's name for it is "tRNA.Ala". Lineage: Eukaryota; Metazoa; Chordata; Mammalia; Rodentia; Sciuridae. The record is from RNAcentral.